AAGUGGUAGGAGAGCGUUCUAUUUGCGUCGAAGGUAUACCGGUAAGGAGUGCUGGAGCGAAUAGAAGUGAGCAUGCAGGCAUGAGUAGCGAUAAUUAAUGUGAGAAUCAUUAACGCCGUAAACCCAAGGUUUCCUACGCGAUGCUCGUCAUCGUAGGGUUAGUCGGGUCCUAAGUCGAGUCCGAAAGGGGUAGACGAUGGCAAAUUGGUUAAUAUUCCAAUACCAACAUUAGUGUGCGAUGGAAGGACGCUUAGGGCUAAGGGGGCUAGCGGAUGGAAGUGCUAGUCUAAGGUUGUAGGAGGUUAUACAGGCAAAUCCGUAUAACAAUACUCCGAGAACUGAAAGGCUUUUUGAAGUCUUCGGAUGGAUAGAAGAACCCCUGAUGCCGUCGAGCCAAGAAAAGUUUCUAAGUUUAGCUAAUGUUGCCCGUACCGUAAACCGACACAGGUGGGUGGGAUGAGUAUUCUAAGGCGCGUGGAAGAACUCUCUUUAAGGAACUCUGCAAAAUAGCACCGUAUCUUCGGUAUAAGGUGUGGUUAGCUUCGUACUAGGAUUUACUCCGAAAGCGAAGAAACUUACAACAAAGAGUCCCUCCCGACUGUUUACCAAAAACACAGCACUCUGCUAACUCGUAAGAGGAUGUAUAGGGUGUGACGCCUGCCCGGUGCUCGAAGGUUAAUUGAUGGGGUUAGCAUUAGCGAAGCUCUUGAUCGAAGCCCGAGUAAACGGCGGCCGUAACUAUAACGGUCCUAAGGUAGCGAAAUUCCUUGUCGGUUAAAUACCGACCUGCAUGAAUGGCGUAACGAGAUGGGAGCUGUCUCAAAGAGGGAUCCAGUGAAAUUGUAGUGGAGGUGAAAAUUCCUCCUACCCGCGGCAAGACGGAAAGACCCCGUGGACCUUUACUACAGCUUGACACUGCUACUUGGAUAAGAAUGUGCAGGAUAGGUGGGAGGCUUUGAGUAUAUGACGCCAGUUGUAUAUGAGCCAUUGUUGAGAUACCACUCUUUCUUAUUUGGGUAGCUAACCAGCUUGAGUUAUCCUCAAGUGGGACAAUGUCUGGUGGGUAGUUUGACUGGGGCGGUCGCCUCCCAAAUAAUAACGGAGGCUUACAAAGGUUGGCUCAGAACGGUUGGAAAUCGUUCGUAGAGUAUAAAGGUAUAAGCCAGCUUAACUGCAAGACAUACAAGUCAAGCAGAGACGAAAGUCGGUCUUAGUGAUCCGGUGGUUCUGUGUGGAAGGGCCAUCGCUCAAAGGAUAAAAGGUACCCCGGGGAUAACAGGCUGAUCUCCCCCAAGAGCUCACAUCGACGGGGAGGUUUGGCACCUCGAUGUCGGCUCAUCGCAUCCUGGGGCUGGAGCAGGUCCCAAGGGUAUGGCUGUUCGCCAUUUAAAGCGGUACGCGAGCUGGGUUCAGAACGUCGUGAGACAGUUCGGUCCCUAUCUGCCGUGGGCGUAAGAAGAUUGAAGAGAUUUGACCCUAGUACGAGAGGACCGGGUUGAACAAACCACUGGUGUAGCUGUUGUUCUGCCAAGAGCAUCGCAGCGUAGCUAAGUUUGGAAAGGAUAAACGCUGAAAGCAUCUAAGCGUGAAGCCAACUCUAAGAUGAAUCUUCUCUAAGCUCUCUAGAAGACUACUAGUUUGAUAGGCUGGGUGUGUAAUGGAUGAAAGUCCUUUAGCUGACCAGUACUAAUAGAGCGUUUGGCUUAUCUUUAAUAAAGCAU
This 1721-nucleotide ribosomal RNA is filed under the name Campylobacter jejuni. RNAcentral's name for it is "partial 23S ribosomal RNA". It matches the Rfam family "Bacterial large subunit ribosomal RNA", at positions 1223 to 2925 of the family's 2925-position model. The record is from RNAcentral. RNAcentral also lists the same sequence under 1 other name. Lineage: Bacteria; Pseudomonadati; Campylobacterota; Epsilonproteobacteria; Campylobacterales; Campylobacteraceae.